This 373-nucleotide ribosomal RNA is filed under the name uncultured organism. RNAcentral describes it as "bacterial SSU rRNA". It matches the Rfam family "Bacterial small subunit ribosomal RNA", at positions 526 to 896 of the family's 1533-position model. The record is from RNAcentral.
CAGGGGGGGCAAGCGUUGUUCGGAAUUACUGGGCGUAAAGGGCUCGUAGGCGGCCCACUAAGUCCGACGUGAAAUCCCUAGGCUUAACCUAGGAACUGCGUCGGAUACUGGUGGGCUUGAAUUCGGGAGAGGGAUGCAGAAUUCCAGGUGUAGCGGUGAAAUGCGUAGAUAUCUGGAGGAAUACCGGUGGCGAAGGCGGCAUCCUGGACCGAAAUUGACGCUGAGUGAGCGAAAGCUAGGGGAGCAAACGGGAUUAGAUACCCCGGUAGUCCUAGCCCUAAACGAUGAAUGUUUGGUGUGGCGGGUAUCGAUCCCUGCUGUGCCGAAGCUAACGCAUUAAACAUUCCGCCUGGGGAGUACGGUCGCAAGGCUG